GAUGAACGCUGGCGGCGGGCCUAAUACAUGCAAGUCGAGCGAACGGACGAUAAGCUUGCUUCUCUGAUGUUAGCGGCGGACGGGUGAGUAACACGUGGAUAACCUACCUAUAAUACUGGGAUAACUUCGGGAAACCGGAGCUAAUACCGGAUAAUAUUUUGAACCGCAUGGUUCAAAAGUGAAAGACGGUCUUGCUGUCACUUAGAGAUGGAUCCGCGCUGCAUUAGCUAGUUGGUAAGGUAACGGCUCACCAAGGCAACGAUGCAUAGCCGACCUGAGAGGGUGAUCGGCCACACUGGAACUGAGACACGGUCCAGACUCCUACGGGAGGCAGCAGUAGGGAAUCUUCGGCAAUGGGCGAAAGCCUGACGGAGCAACGCCGCGUGAGUGAUGAAGGUCUUCGGAUCGUAAAACUCUGUUAUUAGGGAAGAACAUAUGUGUAAGUAACUGUGCACAUCUUGACGGUACCUAAUCAGAAAGCCACGGCUAACUACGUG
Molecule: ribosomal RNA, 497 nt
Filed under: uncultured bacterium
Lineage: Bacteria
Description: partial 16S ribosomal RNA
Rfam family: Bacterial small subunit ribosomal RNA
Source: RNAcentral